This is a long non-coding RNA of Schistocerca gregaria, 861 nucleotides long. RefSeq lists it as uncharacterized. Lineage: Eukaryota; Metazoa; Arthropoda; Insecta; Orthoptera; Acrididae. The transcript has 3 exons. The record is from RefSeq and is a predicted model, not a curated record.
CGUCUGAGAAGCUAGACACAGGUGAUUCGUAGCGUUUCCAUAUUGUAUUUUAUGCAUUUCGAGAGUAGUUAUUUGAUCUAUACUCAGUUACGAUGGCCCGAAUGUGUUGUAUGGCGAAUUGCAGGGGCAAUUACGAUAAUGGACCUAAAGUCAGUGUAUUUUAUUUUCCAUCUGACGAGAAUUUAAGACGGAAAUGGUUAUCGGCUGUUCACAGACGAGACUGGACACCGAAUAUGUGAACUGCAUAUCAACAAGGACGAUAUUUUAAGCAGUACCAGCAUGUAUGACCCCAAAACUGGUAUACUCUUGACAGCACCGUUGGAUCGUUGACGCUUGAGAAAAGAUGCUAUCCCAUCGAAGUUGCCUGGAUGCCCAUCUUACUUGUCGAGUCAUCAAACUGCAGUAUGAGAGGACCCAGAAAUUCGUAGGGGGCGUUUAGAAAAUCGUGCUCUUCAAAUUGCUAUCCAAGAAAGUCUGGACACACAUGCGAAAAUGAUUGAUGCGAUAUCGUUCGAUAGUUUAGUACAAAUGAAAACAAAGUUGAGUGAGUGUGAAAAGCACAGUGACUGGGUAGUGAUUAACAAAUCUGACAGUGUGAGCCUAGUGUUACUAAAUCAUAAUCCUUACCCAAGAAUUUUUUGCGAAGUAGUUAUAAGCAGUGGUUUAUUACUCAGUGUCUUCAAUAAUGAUAUUAAAGUGAAAUGUAUUGGAAACAUGAAAUUUCCCAUGAAAGUAAAUAACAUACAGGUGGUAAGUCAUGUUCAUAAGAACAUUUAUCUUCUGUAUAAUAGUUCUGAGGCUCCUGUAGAUAACAUUUUGUCUUUAAUUGACCAGUUAUUGCAAAAUUUAUUAGAGAAGUUG